AAUGACUCCCUACAAUGUCUUACACCAUUGGUGUAAGACAUUAAAACUUAUCAGGGGUUUUAAAUGUCUAAUGGUGUAAGACAUUGAAAGUUUUUAUUAAUGACUACAAUUGGAAGACAUUAAAAAUGGUGGAAGACGUUGGAAAUAGGUUGAGAAGUGGCCAGGGGGACAUCUAAUGUCUCCCACUGGGAGACGUGGGACACGUGGCACGUCUCCCACUGGGAGACAUUGAAUGUAUAGAGGGGUACAUCCAACGUCUCCCACUGGGAGACGUGGGACACGUGGCACGUCUCCCAGUGGGAGACGUUGGAUGUACCCCUCUAUACAUUCAAUGUCUCCCAGUGGGAGACGUGCCACGUGUCCCACGUCUCCCAGUGGGAGACGUUGGAUGUCCCCCUGGCCAUUUAAUGAAUUUUGGGUCUUCUUCUUCCUCAUAACACCAAACAGAGAGAGCACACCAAACAGAGAGCACGAAAGGGGUUGCGAUUUUAGGGUUUUCAAGGUUGUGAUUUUGGUGGUGAGAUUUUAGAGAGUACUUUGCAUCAAAACUUCUAUAUCUAUCAAUCACACAUUUGAGGUAAUUAAGUUUCUAAAAUUAUAAUAAUAAGUUAUAUAUUGCUAGAUAUUUAGUGAUAUUUUAUUUAUUAUUUAUUAAUUUAUUUAUAUUGGUUUGUGAAUUUAAUAGCGAAUUCGAUUACUACUUGAAGUAAUUUUGCUAGCUUUUGAAUUAUUAAUUGCAAGAGGUAAAUAUAUAUUCUCUUACUUCUACUUUUAAUAUUAUUAAACAAAUGUUAGAAGAGUUUGAAUAUCUUAAAUAUUCAUCCAUAGUGAAGUAGGUUAUGAGAUUAAAAUUGUGUGCUGCGGUGAUAACGGAAGGUUGAGAACUUGUGUGUAUUAGUGAAGUAGGUUCUGAGAAAUUUGACUGUGUGCUGCGGAGCUAUAAGGAAGAAACUUAUUGUAUGUUGUUUGAAUUGUUUGUUUUGCUAUUCACAUGUAGAUGGUUAGGUCACUAUUAUAGGGGAAAUGCUGCCCGAUUUUAUCUAGGAUAAUAAACAAUUAAUUUUAUAUAGGCAUUCUAUAAGGAAGAAACUUAUUGUAUGUUGUUUGAAUUGUUUGUUUUGUUAUUCACAUGCAGAUGGUUAGGUCACUAUUAUAGGGGAAAUGGUGCCCGAUAUUAUUUAGGAUAAUAAACGAUUAGUUGAGAACGGGCAUUACUUGAUUGAACAUGCAAGUCCCAGGCAUUACUUGAGAACGCUAACAAGCACAUCAUAUACAGAGGCACAAAUUGAUGAGUUGCGACAAGAAUGGGCGACAUAUAUGUUGCCGAUAAUCCAAAGUUACCGACCUCGUUGAUAGGUUUUUUUUUAAUUUUUUAACUCUUUCUUCAUACACAAUGCAAUAUUUGUUCAUUUUGAAUAUUUCUAACAAAUAUUGUAUUUCUUGUAUAUAUCUAACAAAUAUAUUUUUUUAUUUCAAUUUAAAUUAAUAUUAUUUCAAUUUAAUUAAUUUAAAUUUAGAUUAAAAUAAUUUCAAUUUAAAUUAAUAUUAUUUCAAUUUAAUUAAUUAUUAAAUUAAUUUCAAUUUAGAUUAAAAUAAUUUCAAUUUAAAUUAAAAUAAUUUCAAUUUAAAUUAAUAUUAUUUCAAUUUAAAUUAAUAUUAUUUCAAUUUAAUUAAUUAUUAAAUCAAAUUAAAAUAAUAUUAAUUAUAAAUUUAUUUAA
Humulus lupulus (European hop) is the source of this 1718-nucleotide long non-coding RNA. RefSeq lists it as uncharacterized. NCBI's taxonomy places the organism in Eukaryota, Viridiplantae, Streptophyta, Magnoliopsida, Rosales, Cannabaceae. The transcript is spliced from 3 exons. The record is from RefSeq and is a predicted model, not a curated record.